RNAcentral lists this ribosomal RNA (537 nucleotides) under uncultured bacterium. RNAcentral describes it as "partial 16S ribosomal RNA". It matches the Rfam family "Bacterial small subunit ribosomal RNA", at positions 355 to 878 of the family's 1533-position model. The record is from RNAcentral.
UGGGGAAUAUUGCACAAUGGGCGCAAGCCUGAUGCAGCCAUGCCGCGUGUGUGAAGAAGGCCUUCGGGUUGUAAAGCACUUUCAGCGAGGAGGAAGGUGGUGAACUUAAUACGUUCAUCAAUUGACGUUACUCGCAGAAGAAGCACCGGCUAACUCCGUGCCAGCAGCCGCGGUAAUACGGAGGGUGCAAGCGUUAAUCGGAAUUACUGGGCGUAAAGCGCACGCAGGCGGUUUGUUAAGUCAGAUGUGAAAUCCCCCGGGCUCAACCUGGGAACUGCAUUUGAAACUGGCAAGCUAGAGUCUCGUAGAGGGGGGUAGAGUUCCAGGUGUAGCGGUGAAAUGCGUAGAGAUCUGGAGGAAUACCGGUGGCGAAGGCGGCCCCCCUGGACGAAGACUGACGCUCAGGUGCGAAAAGCGUGGGGGCAGCAAACAGGAUUAGAUACCCUGGUAGUCCGCGCUGUAAACGAUGUCGAUUUGGAGGUUGUGCCCCUUGAGGCGUGGCUUCCGGAGCUAACGCGUUAAAUCGACCGCCUGGGG